ACCGUGCAAAGGUAGCAUAAUCAUUAGUUUUUUAAUUGAAAGCUGGAAUGAACGGUUGGACGAGAAAAUAACUGUCUCAAUUUAAUUGUAUUUAGAAUUUUAUUUAUAAGUAAAAAAGCUUAUAUGAUUUUAAAAGACGAGAAGACCCUAUAGAGUUUUAUAAUUUUUUAUAUUAAUUAGGUUUAGUAAAUUUAUAUUUUUAAUAUAAAAAAUUAUUUUGCUGGGGCAGCAGAAAAAUUAAUAUAACUUUUUUUUAAUUUAAAACAUUGAUUUAUGAUUUAAUGAUCCAUUAUUUAUGAUUACAAGAUUAAAUUACCUUAGGGAUAACAGCGUAAUUUUUUUUUAGAGUUCUUAUCGAAAAAAGAGUUU
Molecule: ribosomal RNA, 369 nt
Filed under: Mimela sp. c.s.syu201323
Lineage: Eukaryota; Metazoa; Arthropoda; Insecta; Coleoptera; Scarabaeidae
Description: partial 16S ribosomal RNA
Source: RNAcentral